UGGUAUUGGUGGAACCACAGAAAAAUAAAACAUCCGGUUACACAAUUGCAAUCGCCAUCAAUGUAAAUUGCAGGUAUCAGACACUGCAAUUGUAGUAUUCAUCAAAUGCAAUUGUAGUUCUGGGUAUACAAUAACUUAAGCUUUCUGUUCAUCUAACAAAUUACAUAAAUUAAUAGGCCACACAAAUUCACUGCAUGAUUAAUUUCACUUGCAUCUGUUGACCAUCUUUGAUUUUCAUGUCUUCACUGUAAUGUUGCUUUUGGAUGCAUGCCACCAUUUGUUGUUUCCUUUCUCUUCUUUCUUUUUGGCUUCACUGGGGAGCCUACAAAACAUUAUUAGUGAUGAGGUAUAGUUCAGUCUUGUAGUGCUUCACUGGGGAGCCUACAAAACAUCUAAAUUCUCCUAUUUUUUGGCUUCACUGGGGAGCCUACAAAACAUCUAAAUUCUCCUAUUUUUUGUCCUAAAUUGCUGUUGUUUUUUGUUGCUUUUUGAGAAAGUAGAUUGAAAAGAUUAGGAUACUAACCUUUGGUGAUGAGGUAUAGUUCUGUCUUGUAGUGCUUCUUCUUGAAAAUUUCCUCUUCUUUUGCAAUCUGAUUUCUUCCCCUUUCCCCUGCUCUGCGUGAGGAGAGCAGAGGCUUUCCCCACGCACAUCAGAUCUGUUUUCCUCUCCGUUGCUUCUCUCCCAAGUCUGUGUCCUAUAUAUGCUAUGGAUUGCUGGGUUUGGGCUUUUUAUUAUGGGCUGAACACUCAGAUCUGUUAAAUGGGUCUUUUUUCUUUUAUUAUGGGCUGUACAGAAAUUACAAUGGGUUUUCUCUACAUGGGCCUCUAUGGGUUGAUGUUGUUAAAUAGGUCUUUUUCCUUUUAUUGUGGGCUGUACAGAAAUUACAAUGGGUUUUCUCUACAUGGGCCUCUAUGGGUUGAUGCUGUUAAAUGAGUCUUUUUUUCUUUUAUUAUGGGCUGUACAGAAAUUAUAAUGGAUUUUCUCUGCAUGGGCCUCGUGGGCCUCUUUUAGAAUGUAGGCAACCAACAAUCAUGUGCUAACUUGUUAUAAAACACACAGAUUCUUGUUCUAUUGUAAAUCAUGUGUUUUACAUACAACCAACAACCAUGUGUUUUCUUAUCCUAAAACACAUGGUUUUUUGUCUGUUACAAUUUGUGUGUUUUGCAGCCAACAAACAACCAUGUGCUAGCUUUUGCUAAAACACAUGGUUGUUCAGUGGACAGACUCUUUAUUCUAGGAGAUGAAUCUGACGUGUGGUACAGAAAAAUCGUGUGUUGGAUUGCAAAAAAAGUUACAUAGGCGUUGUUUAGCAAUCCUGUUUAUUCUAUAGUUUUUAUUGUGACAAAAUUAUGAUGUGAUACUAUUUUACAUUAGCUUUGCAUAAUGAACCAUGCAAUUUUAUGAUUUUUUUUUCUUGCUGCCGUCGCAACGCAUGUGUACUCCCCUGGUACGGCUAGGAAGAAUGCAUGUUCACGAAACGCCCGUCGUACGUGCCAGUCCCGACCUCGUCGCU
This 1514-nucleotide long non-coding RNA is filed under the name Sorghum bicolor (sorghum). RNAcentral's name for it is "long non-coding RNA (SBIC_LNC011288)". Lineage: Eukaryota; Viridiplantae; Streptophyta; Magnoliopsida; Poales; Poaceae. The record is from RNAcentral.